This 524-nucleotide ribosomal RNA is filed under the name fungal sp. 4876 YZ-2011. RNAcentral's name for it is "eukaryotic LSU rRNA". The stretch from base 167 to 320 matches the Rfam family "5.8S ribosomal RNA". The record is from RNAcentral. Lineage: Eukaryota; Fungi.
CCCAAACCCUAUGUGAACAUACCUAUCGUUGCUUCGGCGGACUCGCCCCGGCGUCCGGACGGCCUCGCGCCGCCCGCGGCCCGGACCCAGGCGGCCGCCGGAGACCCUCAAACUCUGUAUUAUCAGCAUCUUCUGAAUACGCCGCAAGGCAAAACAAAUGAAUCAAAACUUUCAACAACGGAUCUCUUGGUUCUGGCAUCGAUGAAGAACGCAGCGAAAUGCGAUAAGUAAUGUGAAUUGCAGAAUUCAGUGAAUCAUCGAAUCUUUGAACGCACAUUGCGCCCGCCAGCAUUCUGGCGGGCAUGCCUGUUCGAGCGUCAUUUCAACCCUCGACUUCCCUUUGGGGAAAUCGGCGUUGGGGAACGGCAGCAUACCGCCGGCCCCGAAAUGGAGUGGCGGCCCGUCCGCGGCGACCUCUGCGUAGUAAUCCAACUCGCACCGGAACCCCGACGUGGCCACGCCGUAAAACACCCAACUUUCUGAACGUUGACCUCGGAUCAGGUAGGAAUACCCGCUGAACUUAA